GGCCAAUGAUGGAUAAAAAUUGUCCGUACCAUCUGAGUGAUUCUUUGAUGAGAAUUCUAUCAUUGGUUUCUGAGGCUA
Small nucleolar RNA from Macadamia integrifolia, 78 nucleotides. RefSeq annotates it as small nucleolar RNA snoR117. The record is from RefSeq and is a predicted model, not a curated record. NCBI's taxonomy places the organism in Eukaryota, Viridiplantae, Streptophyta, Magnoliopsida, Proteales, Proteaceae. The transcript has a single exon.